UCGCGUCGUAAGUUUUUAUCGCGGGUUGUUACGGACGCUUGCCGUGGAAGUUACAGCGACUGUUGUUUCAUUAAUGUAGCUUCAGCUCUUCAUUCAGCUCCUUUACCGGUUUCAUCUGACGGAGGAAGAGGCUGAUGGAAGUGGAUGAUGAGCCCCCUCAGACCACUCGCUGUGACACAAGAUGGUCACAGCGACUGUCGGGACUUCCUCACAAGCUCCUGCAGCGCCUCAUGCCUUUCCAACAGGAGGGAGUGGAGUUUGCUUUGUCCAGAAACGGACGAUGCAUGAUCGCYGAUGAGGUAAGCAAACAGUGAACUGAAGUCAGGAAAUCUAUCGUCCUGGGAAAAAAGGCAAAGAAAAAUGAACCUGAGUCUUUGCUGCAUGCCUUCCAAAUUAAUUUGUCAGCUCUGAAACRCACUCCCUUGUGCCUAAUCUGUUUUGACACUGGAAUCAUUCAGAGACCUUAUUACUCUUGGGCCGCACGUAAGCUCGGCCGUCGUAUGCAAUUUGCCACAGAGUCUCCAUG
This is a long non-coding RNA of Austrofundulus limnaeus, 526 nucleotides long. RefSeq lists it as uncharacterized. The record is from RefSeq and is a predicted model, not a curated record. Lineage: Eukaryota; Metazoa; Chordata; Actinopteri; Cyprinodontiformes; Rivulidae. The transcript has 3 exons.